AAAAUCAGACAGAAUCACCUCCAGAGGAACUGUUCAGUCCGACAGAAGAACGGAUUUAUAGACACUAGAUCUGGAAAAUCUGAGUUCAGCUAAUCUGAACAACAUCAUUUUCACUGGUUCCACUGUCUGAUUUUUUUCUAAAU
Long non-coding RNA from Sphaeramia orbicularis (orbiculate cardinalfish), 143 nucleotides. RefSeq lists it as uncharacterized. The transcript is spliced from 3 exons. Lineage: Eukaryota; Metazoa; Chordata; Actinopteri; Kurtiformes; Apogonidae. The record is from RefSeq and is a predicted model, not a curated record.